AGAGUUUGAUCAUGGCUCAGGAUGAACGCUGGCGGUAUGCCUAACACAUGCAAGUCGUACGAGAGUUUUUAACUCAAGUGGCGGACGGGUGAGUAACACGUGAGAAUUUGCCUUUAGGAGGGGGAUAACAGAGUGAAAACGCUGCUAAUACCCCAUAUGCUUUCGAGUGAAAUGGAUUUAUUCGCCUAAAGAGAAGCUCGCGGCUGAUUAGCUUGUUGGUAAGGUAAUGGCUUACCAAGGCGACGAUCAGUAUCUGGUUUGAGAGGACGAUCAGACACACUGGAACUGAGACACGGUCCAGACUCCUACGGGAGGCAGCAGUGGGGAAUUUUCCGCAAUGGGCGAAAGCCUGACGGAGCAAUACCGCGUGAGGGAAGACUGCCUAUGGGUUGUAAACCUCUUUUCUCAGGGAGGAAAUCAAUGACGUUACCUGAGGAAUAAGCAUCGGCUAACUCCGUGCCAGCAGCCGCGGUAAGACGGAGGAUGCAAGUGUUAUCCGGAACCACUGGGCGUAAAGCGUCUGUAGGUGGCUUAACAAGUCAACUGUUAAAUCUUGAAGCUCAACUUCGAAAUCGCAGUCGAAACUGUUAGGCUAGAGUAUAGUAGGGGUAAAGGGAAUUUCCAGUGGAGCGGUGAAAUGCGUAGAGAUUGGAAAGAACACCGAUGGCGAAGGCACUUUACUGGGCUAUUACUGACACUCAGAGACGAAAGCUAGGGUAGCAAAUGGGAUUAGAUACCCCAGUAGUCCUAGCCGUAAACAAUGGAUACUAGAUGUUGGGCAGAUCGACCUGUUCAGUAUCAAAGCUAACGCGUUAAGUAUCCCGCCUGGGAAGUAUGCGCGCAAGCGUGAAACUCAAAGGAAAUUGACGGGGGCCCGCACAAGCGGUGGAGCAUGUGGUUUAAUUCGAUGCAACGCGAAGAACCUUACCAGGGUUUGACAUGAUACGAAUUUUUUUUGAAAGAAAAAGUGCCGUUUGGAACGUAUACACAGGUGGUGCAUGGCUGUCGUCAGCU
This 1014-nucleotide ribosomal RNA is filed under the name uncultured bacterium. RNAcentral's name for it is "bacterial SSU rRNA". It matches the Rfam family "Bacterial small subunit ribosomal RNA", at positions 8 to 1060 of the family's 1533-position model. The record is from RNAcentral.